Molecule: ribosomal RNA, 333 nt
Filed under: Triticum aestivum (bread wheat)
Lineage: Eukaryota; Viridiplantae; Streptophyta; Magnoliopsida; Poales; Poaceae
Description: partial small subunit ribosomal RNA
Source: RNAcentral
AUGAUAUGGGUUGUUGGAUUCUUGAUAGUGUUUUCGUUUCCCCCUUCUUUGGAGGCUCAUUUGAGUGAAGAAUCAGUUACUGUGGAAUGCAAAUUAACCAGCCAAUACUACUUGAGUGGGAGUGGCAACCGUUACCUGUUGCUGUUGGAGGACUCAAUGCAGCUCAUAUACUGUACCUGGAUAUCCCACUCUGAAGGUAAGGAAAACUCCAAUGCGUCCGUCCUUCCCGCGUCCAAAGUGGCCACUUCUCGCAGCGUCUUCUUCCUCACGUCGAUGGCGAGGAUCCAUGCUCUGCGGCUCUCGGCCAUUCCGUUGCCGGCAUUUUCUUCGUGA